This 576-nucleotide long non-coding RNA is filed under the name Taeniopygia guttata (zebra finch). RNAcentral describes it as "lncRNA (ENSTGUG00000027819.1)". Lineage: Eukaryota; Metazoa; Chordata; Aves; Passeriformes; Estrildidae. The record is from RNAcentral.
CAGGUGCUUCUUCUGCAAGGAUGGGAUGGUGCUCUGUGAGCAGGCGUUUGAAGCUUUCUGGCUUGGUGAGGUGUUACGAAUAUGCACCUGGCAAGCUGUUCUGCAGAUUUAUCACAUGUACUUCAAAUGGGCUGAGGAACAAAAUGAAGACAUUUUUCCUUAAAUGCCUGACUGUCCUUGAAGCCUGGGGCUUUGCAGCAGACAGCCCUGAGUGGAAAUGGAUGAGGAGUUUUUCCUCUGCUCUGGCUUUCAGCAAACUUCCAUUUUCUUGCCCUUCAGGUACUAUCUGCACAGCAGGAAUUUCAAAUGAACAGUGUCACAGCCAAACAGCUUCUUUUGUGACUCAAAACCUUCUGUGAAAACAAUAUUUUAUAGGCAAAGUCCAUACACAGGGACUGGAAACAAGAAUAAAUAAAUUCACAAUGCAUGAAAAAAGGGGUUUGUGGACAGGAAUGAAUGAUGAAGAGCUGUAAUCCUGUUAAUCCAUCCAAUAGCUGCAUUGCUUGUUAAAAAGACAGGACAUAAAUCACUGCUAGUGAUGGAAGCAGGAAACAAAAGUGCUUCUCUCUCCUUUCC